Molecule: non-coding RNA, 761 nt
Organism: Amborella trichopoda
Lineage: Eukaryota; Viridiplantae; Streptophyta; Magnoliopsida; Amborellales; Amborellaceae
Source: RefSeq, a predicted model, not a curated record
UCAUGGUUUCUGCUUGUUCAGGAAUUUAGCAAACAAUAGCCUUAACGGUGCAAUACCUGAAUUUUUAGCUGAUCUACCUAACCUGGUAUCACUCGAUUUAAGGGACAACAACUUAAGUGGGCCAGUUCCAAGGGCUUUACUAGAUAAGAAUAACAGCGGGUCCCUUUUUUUGAGUAUAGAAGGCAAUCCAAGGCUAUGUUUAUCCAAUUCAUGUGUUCAGAGUGGAGAUAGCAAAUUGAGCGUACACAAAAGACAUCAAAAGGUUUCUUUGGUUGUAAUAAUAGCAUCAUCUCUUGGAGGAGUAUUGGUCAUAGUUUCUUUAUUGGUUAUGGUGCUGCUAUUGAAGAGAAGGAAACUUCGAGGUAAGCUCAUAUUUAUUGACCCACUUAGUUCUGACCAUCUAAUUUGAACUUAUGGAUUUGCAAAGAAGGCAUUGACAGACUACUAGUACUAGGACUGCCCUUUCUUACCUAUUCUCUUAAUGUGACCUCCUUUAUUCCUAGGGAGUCACUGCAGAUGCUUUUUCUCUCUUAUGACCUAAGUUUCUCAAAAGCAGCCUAUGUUUUCCAAGAAAUGAAAAAAUCACUUGUGAUUGAAUUUGUUCUAACAAAUGGCUUUUAUCUUGGAUAUUGUUUAUGGUGUCGCAUUAUGUUUCCUUAUCAAACUCUGUACUGUUUGAUGAAUUCGAACCAUUCUCACUUUUUCUUUGUUUAUAGUUUUUCUGAGAUAACUUAAAUUCUUACCUACAUACCUAUUAUAUU